GGGGCUGACCGGUUUUGACAGCAGGAUCAGCAGAUGAUGUAAGCAUGUCGUGGCACGUUGUGUACCCACGUAAAUCAGGCACUUCAACCUAUAACUGGCAACAACAAUUACGCUUUGGCUGCCUAAUAGACCGAAUCACAGUAAGUCUUGGCAUCUCCCUGCAAGGCAGGGAAGCUGAAUGUCUCUCAAAAGCCUUUCCUUACGGCGUUUGAUCAAGAGGCACAGGAAUGUGGGGAUAGAUUGCGGAUUGUUCCGCACCGCAGUCGAAAAUUAAGGAACUAAGCUGCAGUUAGCGUGUCUGUCCGCGGGCUGCAGUCGAAAAUCAAUGACCGACUAAGCAUGUAGAAAGCACAUAGGCUGCUUGUUUGGACGCGGGUUCGAAUCCCGCCAGCUCCACUA
RNAcentral lists this transfer-messenger RNA (399 nucleotides) under Flavobacteriia bacterium. It matches the Rfam family "transfer-messenger RNA". Rfam says of the family: Bacterial tmRNA, also known as 10Sa RNA or SsrA, is named for its dual tRNA and mRNA-like properties. Its role is to liberate the mRNA from a stalled ribosome. To accomplish this part of the tmRNA is used as a reading frame that ends in a translation stop signal. RNAcentral also lists the same sequence under 1 other name. Lineage: Bacteria; Pseudomonadati; Bacteroidota; Flavobacteriia. The record is from RNAcentral.